GAUGAACGCUGGCGGCGUGCCUAAUACAUGCAAGUCGAGCGAACAGACGAGGAGCUUGCUCCUCUGACGUUAGCGGUGGACGGGUGAGUAACACGUGGAUAGCCUACCUAUAAGACUGGGACAACUUCGGGAAACCGGAGCUAAUACCGGAUAACAUGUUGAACCGCAUGGUUCAACAGUGAAAGACGGUCUUGCUGUCACUUAUAGAUGGAUCCGCGCCGCAUUAGCUAGUUGGUAAGGUAACGGCUUACCAAGGCAACGAUGCGUAGCCGACCUGAGAGGGUGAUCGGCCACACUGGAACUGAGACACGGUCCAGACUCCUACGGGAGGCAGCAGUAGGGAAUCUUCCGCAAUGGGCGAAAGCCUGACGGAGCGACGCCGCGUGAGUGAAGAAGGUCUUCGGAUCGUAAAACUCUGUUAUUAGGGAAGAACAAAUGUGUAAGUAACUAUGCACGUCUUGACGGUACCUAAUCAGAAAGCCACGGCUAACUACGUGCCAGCCGCCGCGGUAA
Molecule: ribosomal RNA, 513 nt
Filed under: uncultured bacterium
Lineage: Bacteria
Description: partial 16S ribosomal RNA
Rfam family: Bacterial small subunit ribosomal RNA
Source: RNAcentral